RNAcentral lists this long non-coding RNA (1622 nucleotides) under Setaria viridis. RNAcentral's name for it is "long non-coding RNA (SVIR_LNC003543)". The record is from RNAcentral. Lineage: Eukaryota; Viridiplantae; Streptophyta; Magnoliopsida; Poales; Poaceae.
UUCUCACGUAUUGUGUCAUUAAAAAUCAACGUCCCAUCCUCUUGGCUUAGGGAGCCUCCAUGAGCGUAGUACCAAUUUUUUGAUCGUUCGGGCCAUUCAAUAGUUGCAGGUACGAUUCCCCAUUCGAUCAGAUCUUGUUCCAUCUUCCUCCACUUGGGAAUUGCUGAGCCAUACCCACCUCGCCACAAAUGAUGGUGGUAGCCCUUCUGACUAGCAUUUGCUGUGUUGGUCGUGAUCUUUUUCACACCGUCUUCACUCCUCUUAUAUUCAACAAAUGCAUCCCAGUGGUCCCUCAACUUUGGCAACGUGUUGAAGUUUGGAGUUCGGCCCUUCUUAAUCUAGUGGGUAUCCAGCAUCUUCUUGAAUGUCUGGAAUUGAGUAGCCAUCUUCUUAAGCGUCCACGCUUUGACAUCCUUCUCACUAUAUCCUUCGGGGAAUGUGAAAUGUCUCUUCACGUCUUCCCACAGCAUAUUCUUUUCUGUCUCCGGGAGGGCGUACGGAUUAGUGCUUCUGCCCUUCCAUUCUCUGAUGCUGAUAGGCACGUUGUCCCGGACGAUUGCCCUGAUCUGACUCACGUACUUCUUUGCUACUUUCUCGGGAGCAACCAGCCUGCCCUCUUCUGUCACUUCCAUGAUGACAAGCCUCCCUUCCAUCACCUUUGUACGACCUCGGGUCUUCUGCCCUUGUGUCGAUCCGGAGGGCUAACAGUUCAAGAUUCGUUAAUUAGUACGUAGUAGUAACGGUGGUGUGAAACAAUACAAGAAUGGUUAUAUAUACCUCGCCGGAACCUUCCGCCACGGCAAGUUGUUGCUGCGGCUGUUCCUCUUCAUUCCCAUCGGCGGACAUGUUGAGGAACAUGUCCGCCUGGGUGCUCUCUUCAUGCGUGUAUGAUAGUGGAACGUUGUCGCCACUACCAUCACCAGCGAUUAUCUGCUCCAUGAUAUACCUUGCGGUCUCAUCGUCUGCCAUUUCAACUAUUGAUUGAAACAUACAUGGAAUCAUACAUGACAGUCAUAGAAAUCGUCUUACUACAAAUUUCUACAAAGUCCUACAAAGUCCGGAAUCAUACAUGUAUAUAAUGAAAUCAUAAAAUAACAUGAAUCCUACAAAGUCCGGAAUAUUUAUACAAAUUUCUACGAAUUUCUAGCAAUAACCACAUGCGGUGCCUAGGUUGUGACGGCGGCGGUCAGGGCGGCGGAGGCGGGGACGGUUCCCUGGAACCACGGGUGGUGCCUAGGUUGUGAUGGCGGCGGUCAGGGCGGCAGUACGGCGGAGGCGGGGACGGAUCCCCGGAACCACGGGCGGUGCCUACUAGGUUGUGACGGCGGCGGUCACGGCGGCGGGACGGCGGAGGGGACACAUAUACAAAAAUCUAACUUAAAAAAAAUCUAACUUAAAAAAAAUCUAACUUAAAAAUCUAACUUAAAAAUAUAACUUAAAAAUCUAACUUAACAAUCUAACUAAAAAAUCUAACUUAAAAAUAUAACUUAAUUUUCUAACUUAACAAUCAUACUUAAAAAUCUAUCAUAAAAAUAUAACUUAAUUUUCUAACUUAAAAAAAAAGGCCCUCCCGGCGCUGCCGGCUGGCGCAGCGGCGGACCUCUCGCGCGCGGUCGUCGACG